GUGAAUCAUCGAAUCUUUGAACGCAUAUUGCACUUCCUGGUAUUCCGGAGAGCAUUCCUGUUUGAGGGUAAUUAAAAAGAAUCUUUAACCAAUUUUUUUUUGGUCAAAGGAAAUGAGUUCUAUGUGUUUAUAGCGGUAGCCUGGUAUAAAUGGUCAAGUCUAAUUUUAGUCGAGACGUGUAAUAAUAUUAUUUCGCGAAAUCUUCAUUAUGUGACUAUUAAGUUUUGAUGCAUACUAAUAUGGUUUGUAUGCGUUCAAUACAAAUA
Molecule: unclassified non-coding RNA, 266 nt
Filed under: Ambisporaceae sp.
Lineage: Eukaryota; Fungi; Glomeromycota; Glomeromycetes; Archaeosporales; Ambisporaceae
Description: partial contains 5.8S ribosomal RNA and internal transcribed spacer 2
Rfam family: 5.8S ribosomal RNA (bases 1-71)
Source: RNAcentral